UUAACAUCAAGGAACGGGAGAGUAACCUACAUGGGUGCCAUUUCAAGCGAGCCGGGACAGUGGAAGCCGGCAAUGGACGAUUAGGUGAAGCGCACCCGGGAGAUGGCGGCCUGAAACGAGCAAUCAUGCUAGGGACGUCCGGUUCAGCACCGUUACAACGGCGAGAUGCCCCUCUUUGUUUCUGUGCGGAGGCGGCAACAAGAGUGGUACCGCGGGGAUAACAGGCCUCGUCUCUUAU
This 238-nucleotide non-coding RNA is filed under the name Paenibacillus sp. Its description in RNAcentral is "T-box sequence". It matches the Rfam family "T-box leader". From Rfam's summary of the family: Uncharged tRNA acts as the effector for transcription antitermination of genes in the T-box leader family. Lineage: Bacteria; Bacillati; Bacillota; Bacilli; Caryophanales; Paenibacillaceae. The record is from RNAcentral.